CCUACGGGAGGCAGCAGUCGAGAAUCAUUCACAAUGGGGGAAACCCUGAUGGUGCGACGCCGCGUGGGUGAAGGAGCGUUUCGGCGCGUAAAGCCCUAUCGGCAGGGAAGAAGAAGGACGGUACCUGACUAAGAAGCCCCGGCUAACUACGUGCCAGCAGCCGCGGUAAUACGUAGGGGGCAAGCGUUAUCCGGAUUUACUGGGUGUAAAGGGGGCGCAGACGGGACUGCAAGUUGGGUGUCAAAUCUACCGGCCCAACCGGUGGCCGCACUCAAAACUGCAGUUCUUGAGUGAAGUAGAGGCAGGCGGAAUUCCUAGUGUAGCGGUGAAAUGCGUAGAUAUUAGGAGGAACACCAGUGGCGAAGGCGGCCUGCUGGGCUUUUACUGACGCUGAGGCUCGAAAGUGUGGGGAGCAAACAGGAUUAGAUACCCGAGUAGUC
Molecule: ribosomal RNA, 440 nt
Filed under: uncultured bacterium
Lineage: Bacteria
Description: partial 16S ribosomal RNA
Rfam family: Bacterial small subunit ribosomal RNA
Source: RNAcentral